GACGAACGCUGGCGGCGUGCUUAACACAUGCAAGUCGAACGGAAAGGCCCUGCUUUUGUGGGGUGCUCGAGUGGCGAACGGGUGAGUAACACGUGAGUAACCUGCCCUUGACUUUGGGAUAACUUCAGGAAACUGGGGCUAAUACCGGAUAGGAGCUCCUGCUGCAUGGUGGGGGUUGGAAAGUUUCGGCGGUUGGGGAUGGACUCGCGGCUUAUCAGCUUGUUGGUGGGGUAGUGGCUUACCAAGGCUUUGACGGGUAGCCGGCCUGAGAGGGUGACCGGCCACAUUGGGACUGAGAUACCGCCCAGACUCCUACGGGAGGCAGCAGUGGGGAAUAUUGCACAAUGGGCGGAAGCCUGAUGCAGCAACGCCGCGUGCGGGAUGACGGCCUUCGGGUUGUAAACCGCUUUCGCCUGUGACGAAGCGUGAGUGGCGGUAAUGGGUAAAGAAGCACCGGCUAACUACGUG
This 468-nucleotide ribosomal RNA is filed under the name uncultured bacterium. Its description in RNAcentral is "partial 16S ribosomal RNA". It matches the Rfam family "Bacterial small subunit ribosomal RNA", at positions 28 to 507 of the family's 1533-position model. The record is from RNAcentral.